RNAcentral lists this ribosomal RNA (564 nucleotides) under Mesorhizobium sp. RNAcentral describes it as "partial 23S ribosomal RNA". It matches the Rfam family "Bacterial large subunit ribosomal RNA", at positions 1159 to 1724 of the family's 2925-position model. The record is from RNAcentral. Lineage: Bacteria; Pseudomonadati; Pseudomonadota; Alphaproteobacteria; Hyphomicrobiales; Phyllobacteriaceae.
CUGCGCGGAAGAUGUAACGGGGCUCAAACCAUACACCGAAGCUACGGGUAUCACGCAAGUGAUGCGGUAGAGGAGCGUUCUGUAAGCCUGUGAAGGUGAGUUGAGAAGCUUGCUGGAGGUAUCAGAAGUGCGAAUGCUGACAUGAGUAACGACAAUGGGUGUGAAAAACACCCACGCCGAAAGACCAAGGUUUCCUGCGCAACGUUAAUCGACGCAGGGUUAGUCGGUCCCUAAGGCGAGGCUGAAAAGCGUAGUCGAUGGAAAACAGGUUAAUAUUCCUGUACUUCUGGUUAUUGCGAUGGAGGGACGGAGAAGGCUAGGCCAGCUUGGCGUUGGUUGUCCAAGUUUAAGGUGGUAGGCUGAAAUCUUAGGUAAAUCCGGGGUUUCAAGGCCGAGAGCUGAUGACGAGUUACCCUUUGGGUGACGAAGUGGUUGAUGCCAUGCUUCCAAGAAAAGCUUCUAAGCUUCAGAUAACCAGGAACCGUACCCCAAACCGACACAGGUGGUUGGGUAGAGAAUACCAAGGCGCUUGAGAGAACUCGGGUGAAGGAACUAGGCAAAAUG